UACGGAGGGUGCGAGCGUUAAUCGGAAUUACUGGGCGUAAAGCGCCCGUAGGCGGCUAAGUAAGCCGGUUGUGAAAGCCCCGAGCUCAACCUGGGAAUGGCAUCGGGAACUGAUGGGCUAGAGUGCAGUAGAGGAGGGUAGAAUUCCCGGUGUAGCGGUGAAAUGCGUAGAGAUCGGGAGGAAUACCAGUGGCGAAGGCGGCCUUCUGGACUGACACUGACGCUGAGGUGCGAAAGCGUGGGUAGCAAACAGG
RNAcentral lists this unclassified non-coding RNA (253 nucleotides) under uncultured Halomonadaceae bacterium. RNAcentral describes it as "contains 16S-23S intergenic spacer region". It matches the Rfam family "Bacterial small subunit ribosomal RNA", at positions 524 to 776 of the family's 1533-position model. Lineage: Bacteria; Pseudomonadati; Pseudomonadota; Gammaproteobacteria; Oceanospirillales; Halomonadaceae. The record is from RNAcentral.